GUCACAUCACAUUGAAACACUGAUUCCCGUACAGUCACUUAAGUUAAGCAAUGUUGAGCCUGGUCAGUACCUAGAUGGGUUAGCGCUUGGGAAUACCAGUUGCUGUAAG
Non-coding RNA from Acanthosepion pharaonis, 109 nucleotides. NCBI's taxonomy places the organism in Eukaryota, Metazoa, Mollusca, Cephalopoda, Sepiida, Sepiidae. The record is from the annotation of a GenBank genome assembly.